Molecule: ribosomal RNA, 464 nt
Filed under: uncultured bacterium
Lineage: Bacteria
Description: partial 16S ribosomal RNA
Rfam family: Bacterial small subunit ribosomal RNA
Source: RNAcentral
CUACGGGUCGCAGCAGUGGGGAAUAUUGCACAAUGGGCGCAAGCCUGAUGCAGCCAUGCCGCGUGUAUGAAGAAGGCCUUCGGGUUGUAAAGUACUUUCAGCGAGGAGGAAGGGAGUAAAGUUAAUACCUUUGCUCAUUGACGUUACCUGCAGAAGAAGCACCGGCUAACUCCGUGCCAGCAGCCGCGGUAAUACGGAGGGUGCAAGCGUUAAUCGGAAUUACUGGGCGUAAAGCGCGCGCAGGCGGUUUGGUUAGUCAGAUGUGAAAUCCCCGGGCUGAACCUGGGAACUGCAUCUGAUACUGGCAAGCUUGGGUCUCGUAGAGGGGGGUAGAAUUCCAGGUGUAGCGGUGAAAUGCGUAGAGAUCUGGAGGAAUACCGGUGGCGAAGGCGGCCCCCUGGACGAAGACUGACGCUCAGGUGCGAAAGCGUGGGGAGCAAACAGGAUUAGAUACCCUAGUAGUC